This 988-nucleotide ribosomal RNA is filed under the name uncultured bacterium. RNAcentral describes it as "bacterial SSU rRNA". It matches the Rfam family "Archaeal small subunit ribosomal RNA", at positions 344 to 1336 of the family's 1478-position model. The record is from RNAcentral.
AAACCUCUGCAAUAGGCGAAAGCUGACAGGGUUAUUCUGAGUGACUUUCGCUAAGAAAGUCUUUUGACACCUCUAAAAAUGGUGUAGAAUAAGGGGUGGGCAAGUCUGGUGUCAGCCGCCGCGGUAAUACCAGCACCCCGAGUGGUCGGGACGAUUAUUGGGCCUAAAGCAUCCGUAGCCGGUUUCACAAGUCCUCCGUUAAAUCCAACUGCUUAACAGAUGGGCCGCGGAGGAUACUAUAAGACUAGGAGGCAGGAGAGGCAAGCGGUACUCAGUGGGUAGGGGUAAAAUCCGUUGAUCCAUUGAAGACCACCAGUGGCGAAGGCGGCUUGCCAGAAUGCGCUCGACGGUGAGGGAUGAAAGCUGGGGGAGCAAACCGGAUUAGAUACCCGGGUAGUCCCAGCUGUAAACGAUGCAGACUCGGUGAUGGACUAGCUUCAUGCUAGUCCAGUGCCGCAGGGAAGCCGUUAAGUCUGCCGCCUGGGUAGUACGGUCGCAAGACUGAAACUUAAAGGAAUUGGCGGGGGAGCACCACAAGGGGUGAAGCUGCGGUUCAAUUGGAGUCAACGCCGGGAAUCUUACCGGGGGCGACAGCAGAAUGAAGGUCAAGCUGAAGACUUUACUAGACAAGCUGAGAGGAGGUGCAUGGCCGUCGCCAGCUCGUGCCGUGAGGUGUCCUGUUAAGUCAGGUAACGAGCGAGACCCCUGCUUCUAGUUGCUACUUUUAUUCUUCGGAGUAGAAGGGCUAAUUAGAAGGACUGCCGCGCUAAGGCGGAGGAAGGAGGGGGCUACGGCAGGUCAGUAUGCCCCGAAACCCUCGGGCCACACGCGGGCUGCAAUGGUAAGUACAAUAGGUUCCGAUUUCGAAAGGAGGAGGCAAUCCGCAAAACUUACCACAGUUAUGAUUGAGGGCUGAAACUCGUCCUCAUGAAUAUGGAAUCCCUAGUAAUCGCGUGUCAUCAUCGCGCGGUGAAUACGUCCCUGCUCC